UACGUAGGGUGCGAGCGUUAAUCGGAAUUACUGGGCGUAAAGUGUGCGCAGGCGGCAGAGCAAGUCGAGUGUGAAAGCCCCGGGCUUAACUUGGGAAUUGCGCUCGAAACUACUAUGCUGGAGUGUGGCAGAGGAAGGUGGAAUUCCACGUGUAGCGGUGAAAUGCGUAGAGAUGUGGAGGAACACCAAUGGCGAAGGCAGCCUUCUGGGCCAACACUGACGCUCAUGCACGAAAGCGUGGGGAGCAAACAGG
RNAcentral lists this ribosomal RNA (253 nucleotides) under uncultured bacterium. RNAcentral's name for it is "partial 16S ribosomal RNA". It matches the Rfam family "Bacterial small subunit ribosomal RNA", at positions 524 to 776 of the family's 1533-position model. The record is from RNAcentral.